GGAUGUACUGGAUGGGAGUUGCUUUCGCAUCAAAGCAAGAGGACUGCUUCGUAUAGUACUUCAACGUUCGACUAUAAGAUUGUUCUGUGUGUUUUGUGAGAAGCUCUCGAGAGAGUUGCUGCUGCAUUCAGUGAAAGUUUUUCCAAAGAUAAUCUGUUUUAUCUGCGGACAGAUAACAAAUAUGUCUUGCAAAAAAUCGAACAAUUUAGAUACAGUUUAAUCAAAUUUAAGAAAGAAAUACAAUCCCGUAUCAUUGCCAUUGUUUCUAAUGUCAAAUGAAGGUUAGUCUCUAUAAAUCCCUAAGAAAAAUUAACUCUAGGUAAAGCCCAAGACGAAUCUUGUAAUGACUAUAAGCAAAUGAUACAAGAUAUUGUAUUGGGGUUUAGUGCAGACCCGAGACCAGAGAGCAGAAAAAGAAGAGGACCAGUCAGCCUGUCGGCAAUUGUGGUUAAUCAGGGGAUAGUAACCUCUACGGAAAGCAGCAGAAUAGAUGGUCAGCCGGGAGGUGGAGAAAAGGGAGAGUGGAGAAGAGAAGCCACUAAAACAACAUCAAAGUGCUACCCGGACCUCAACCGCGACGGGCGACACCCAUAAUCAUGUUGAAUGAAUGAAGCGCAAGUGAAAGAGAAAGAGAAUGAUGAGAUGAUGAUGUUGAAAAAAGAAGCAACAUGGAACAUGCAGCAACAGGAGAAGAGUUCAGUAGAGUGCAAUGCAUGAAUUGGAAUUUUGCAGUAAAUACCCUUUAAAGAAGAAUUUAAAUUGAAGUAACUUUGAUACAAGAAUGUAGAAAUAUGGAUAGAAAAUGAAUAAAGUUGGGGGAAAUUUCACAUGGAAGAGUAUUCCCUACUUCGAUCUCUUGGAUUCCUCCUCUGCUUCCUUUCUGUUGUAUUUGGUGUUUAUAGUUUUGUGUCAACGUUGCAGCCAUGUCCAGCGGAUGCAUUCAUUUAAGUCAUGGAUGGCUUUGUUGGCGCGGGGUCAAGCAAUGACUGGCUGCUGGCUGCCGUGCCAGAAUUUCCCCUAUCUUCUGUGUUGGUCAGUUUUUCAUAGUUGAUUAUAACUUUGGCUGUCGCCGAUCGGUGCCUUUGCUGCCUUUGCUACUGCAUUCAAUUUUCGUUUGUUUUGUGUCCAAGUUAUGCGGAAAUUAAUGCGAAAAUGGUGUUCAUACUUGUUUUUGGGUGUGGUUUGGUGAGCACAGGCCCGGGCCAUUUUUAGACAUUGCAGACAGCAGAAGCAGGAGCAACACCAGAGACUGCAGCCUGCCACAAAAUAUCAAGAAAAAUUCGCAUUAAUUGUCAACGAACAUGCGCAACGCGUGUGUCGGCCAACGUGUGCUGAGGGGACACACACUCGGAGCGUUGCAUUUGCGAAAAUAAUUGCAUUUUACCAUUAACAUUUAAUGCAAAUGCAACGCCAUAACCAGACCCAGUCGCAGACCUGGCCCAGAACCGAGCCCCACCCUCUGCUUUGUGACGUGGCAAAAAUGCAUUUUCCAAAAAGGUACAUUAACCCGCUAAAACUGCUGCACUGACCGACCGACCACAACGAACAGUGUCAGUCGGUGGCCAUAUUGCCACCGGUAAACGCGCGGUUUUAGCUAGGCUGCACAUUUUCUAUUCGAUUUUCGGCUACCGAAGUUACAUACUUUUUAACGACUUUUUUGUUUGAGACUUUGAGGCAGGUUUUGGCUGUAAGUUUGCUUAAAACUUGAUCUGAAAUAAAUAGUCUUCCAAAAUGAGGUUAAUUUUCGCCUCAACAACGCAUGAAAAUGAAACCUUCCUCAAUCUAAAUCUCAAUUGUAGUUUAAACAUUUGACGGCCGCUCGGGAGCCGCCUCAAAAUUCACGGACACUAGCAAAAACCAAAUACGGGGCAUGAACGAAAAAACGUUCCAUAAAAACGUUCCAUAGAUGAGUUUUUACACAUUAUUUUUCGGGUAUUGUCAAUGGAAAUUCGUUCAAUGGAAAUUCAAUAUUACACAUAACUAAUGUCUGGGAAAAAGUCAUGAAUAUAUUUGUGUUUCUGAGAAUCGCAAUGAGUCGUGUCUCGUCGUGUGGCGUUUAGCUUAGUUUUAUGUUGUGCGGAUCGUGUGUGUAAGUUGAAUGUCUCUUUUUUAUAACUUUUUGGGUAAUGGCCAAAACAAACUUCAAUCUCCUUGGGUUAUUUUUAGAACUUGGGCGGUAGAACUGUGCAGAGUACGAAACAUGUCGGACUGUUGCUAAAACUAGCAUCAAAGCAACAAGCUAUUUACAUCGAUGUGAUGAGCGAAUGAAAGGCGUUAAUAAUGUAGUGGAUAUAGUAGCCAGUGUCAGUACAGACACAGAUACAGACACAGACACUGCGCAUUUCGGAAUCAAUUAAAGCGAUGCCAAUGAGAGAUUUCAAUCAAUGCACACACGGAACAUCAAACCGCACCCUAGAGAGGGUCUAGACAAAGUAUUAUGGCGUUAUAUUCCAUCCAUCCAGCCAAACAGAUGGUUAACAAAAUGCAAAAAAUAUCAGCAAUAAUUAGAUUAUGCGGAAAUACUCGUAAUCAAGUGAGGGCCACGACAGGCUGUGAGCACACCUCUGCGUGUGUCUUUAUGAUUUAUGAAUCUCCCCUCAAGCGUAAGAUUAUUUAUGCAAUUAUAAAGGCAAAACACUCGUAUACAUUUAUUUGCUGAUAUAAUCUCUAAGACUGGUCCUUCCAUGCGAAAAACAAUUACAGAUAUUAGUGAAAAACUUUGCUGAAUAGUGUGGACCACAGGUACGAGGAGAAGCUUUCCUG
Molecule: long non-coding RNA, 2763 nt
Filed under: Drosophila guanche
Lineage: Eukaryota; Metazoa; Arthropoda; Insecta; Diptera; Drosophilidae
Source: RNAcentral